RNAcentral lists this ribosomal RNA (253 nucleotides) under uncultured bacterium. Its description in RNAcentral is "partial 16S ribosomal RNA". It matches the Rfam family "Bacterial small subunit ribosomal RNA", at positions 524 to 776 of the family's 1533-position model. The record is from RNAcentral.
UACGGGGGGGGCAAGCGUUGUUCGGAAUUACUGGGCGUAAAGGGUUUGUAGGUGGCUUGCUAAGUCAGACGUGAAAUCCCCAGGCUUAACCUGGGAACUGCGUGUGAUACUGGAUGGCUUGAAUUCGGGAGAGGGAUGCAGAAUUCCAGGUGUAGCGGUGAAAUGCGUAGAUAUCUGGAGGGAUACCGGUGGCGAAGGCGGCAUCCUGGACCGACAUUGACGCUGAGGAGCGAAAGCUAGGGGAGCAAACGGG